UACAAGGUUAGUAAAAUGGCUGACAUUGUGUGAUGUUUUUAGUGUUUGUGUUGAAAUUUGAGUAAAAUCGUGUUUUUCCAAAAAGGAUCAUCAAAAAUGGGUAAGUGUUGUGGACUACAGAUGAUAUUGAAAUCUAAAGACAUUUUUUUAAUUGGUAAGUAGUGUUCGUAAUGUCUCCAAAGACGUUUAAUGGAAAUUGUUCAGAAUACAACAGUGUAACAUUGGCUACGCUAUUUGCUUAGCAAUAAUAUUAACGGAAUGAGAAAUACUAACUAAAAAAACUUAGAACUAAAACUGUAAGUUACAUAUAUUUAUUCUGCCUAAAUAAUGAUUUUAUAAUAACAAGUAACUGAAUCCACGAUAUGUGUAUAUUUUUAUAUCAUAUACGGUUAUGAUGUCAUCUCUCGACUACACGGAAUUCUCCCAAUAUAGAUUUCUUCAUGGUAAAACGUUGCAUGUAGGUAUGCCUUAAUUUGAAUAUUUUGCAAGCCUAGAUUCUAGACUUCAAUUACGAGUGGCGUUUAAAAUGAUUAAACUUGUUUUUAAAAAGGUGUUACUGCUUUUACUGUGUUAAACGGAUUUUAGAGUCUUCAUGUAAAAAAAAAUUUUGCCAGCUUAUAUGUAUUGCAGUUUAUGUAUACCUAUUGCUUUGUACAAAAAAUUGUUUCUUUCUGGCUGCGUGUUAUCGACAAAAAAUUUAUAGUUCGUAGACAAAACACCUGCUAAAAAUAUGUUUUUUAAUUUUACGUGUUAUGAAAAAAGUUUUAUUAUAUUGAAUAGCGUUGUACAAGUAAAUUAUCCUUCUAUAAAAUUAUUUAAAAAUCCAUGUUCAUAUUUUUAAAUGCUACUCGUGUUUGCCAAAAUCCAAAGUGUGCAAUUUUGUUUUAAAAUAAAAAAAUCUAAUAUGUUUUAAGAUAACUUCAAUAUGAGGUAUAUUGAAGUGGAUGGUGCUAUGGUUUUGGAUUCCCCAUGAAAGCGGAGCAAAAAGAAUUCUAUACAUUUUUAACAAGCUUAAUGCGCAGCUGAUGCGUUCGAUUCUUGUAUUAUCCAACCUGACUAUGAUAAAUUGGACUUCUGAUGAGUAUGAUAUCACAAACCGAGUUUAAGAUUAAUGAGUGAACAAUGUACUUAAUUAACUAUUUGCAGUUAAUGUGAAGCUACCGAUUGGGAAUAUAGACUCUGUUGAGAAGAAUCGUCAAAUAACUCAGCGGUUACUCUUUUAACAAACCAUCAAUCAGCCCAACUAAAUAUUUAUUAUUUAUGUAAUCUCGUACAAAAUAAUAUGAAUUUAAAACUAUUUAUAUUGUAGUUGUCGAAAUUCUAUCGCCAUCUCUCGACAAACAAUUUAACACUCGGUGAAGUUGAGACCUCAGCUAUCAACACUUCAUUUGUCAAAGUCAGUCAACGUGUUGGUUCUGUACGAGAUAAGCAAAUAGGUUUUACAUCGAUUAACCUAUUGAUUGUGCUAUUGUUUCGAGGCUUGUUGAGAAGAUUUUAAACUAGACAUUUUUCGUGGUUUCACCCGCGUACGGACUUACUGUUCUUAUUAUAUGAUUUGUUAGUGUAAUUGUUCUAAAACUAGUGUAACUUCUGGACAAUGUUUAACGAUGUAAUAAAAAUAAAAAUAAAAAUUAUAAAUACGUGUUUAUAUGUAUAUUUCGCAUGAAUUAUUAUGUUUUUAUAUUUAUAUGCCUUUGGAAUUAUCUACUUUUGGCGGUAAAUCGUUUCUUUUGUACAUUAAAUAACGGUUCUAAGUUUGGGUGUAGCUGUAGUUGUGAUAUAGUAUAAAGUCAACCUAUUGCUACAUGUGUUUUGUAAGAAACAACAAAAAGUUACAAAGAAUACCUUUUAAAAAAAGGAAAAAUAAAACAAAUCUCUCAAUGUAUCUAAGUACCUACAGAUCCGCAUCGCAGCCGCGCGAGUCGUUUUGUUAUUAUCAUGAUUACUCCGAUAGCGAUGAAUAAUGGAGACUGAAUUUUUAUCG
Molecule: unclassified non-coding RNA, 1984 nt
Filed under: Melitaea cinxia (Glanville fritillary)
Lineage: Eukaryota; Metazoa; Arthropoda; Insecta; Lepidoptera; Nymphalidae
Description: misc RNA ENSMCXG00005016593.1
Source: RNAcentral